This is a long non-coding RNA of Pyrus x bretschneideri (Chinese white pear), 886 nucleotides long. RefSeq lists it as uncharacterized. The transcript is spliced from 3 exons. Lineage: Eukaryota; Viridiplantae; Streptophyta; Magnoliopsida; Rosales; Rosaceae. The record is from RefSeq and is a predicted model, not a curated record.
UCGGGUAAACCCUUAGUUGCAGUUUAUAAGUUCAUGCCUCCCCUCAUUUUUCUCAUCCAUACAAUCAUUUUCCUCCGUCAUCUCCUCCCAUAUAUUCAUGUGCCUAAACCCUCAACCUAAGUUUAUGAAAAAGCAUCAUUAGCAAACACAUGUCUAUUGUGGCCGUGGUCUAGGGAGUUCAGGUUACCACUGUAACAUCGAAGGAAGUGUUCCAUAUUGGCAGGGAAACCGAGAGCAAAAGUAGUACGAGCACCACUCAGGCUCUCGAACCUUGUCUUACUGGGUCGAGGAACGGCGGGAGGCUAGGUAGAAGUUCCCGGAGGUGGUGGUCGGGGGUAGACCCAUGCCAACUAUGGCAACGAUAUUGCGGAUGAGAUUUAUAAGGACGAGUAUCUCACCACUCCAUUUCAGUAGCAUCCUCACAUACCUAUUGAGGAGCUGACACCUGACUCAGAGGUGUCUCUUUAGAUGUUGAUGGAUAGGGUUGGCCGAAGGAAGGGCAAGGAAGUUCAGGGCCGAAGAAAGGGUUAGUUCAUGUUCUUCGUCGAGUUCAACUGCAGCGACCGAGACCGACUCUCGACUUUAGCAGGUGGGGAGGAGUUGGCAUGCCAAAAGGAAUUAGUCUACCAGUACUUCAUGGUCGUAGCCCAGAACUUAUCAGCUUCUAGCAUUAUGAUUCCAUUGCCGCCGUUCGAGCUUGUGUCGCCAUCCUAAUAGCCUCCCCAGCAGUCGUCCCAGGAGCACCCCCAUGUGGUUGUCCAAUAAGCCGCCCUAUCAGUGAUCAAGACCUCCUGUAGAACCAACAAUUUUUUUGGGUUGGAUAUAUUUAGUUUCAAUUUUACAAUUUUUUUUUUGGGUUCUAAUAUUUUUUUUUUAAUCUUUGUGU